AUGAUUUUUGUUGUUGUGUUGAUGGAUUUUCUAGAUUUUGGCCGUUAUGUUCUGCUGUUUUGAUGUUUACUUUGUUGGUUUGUAUCUCAUCUUGUUUAAAGUUGUUUAUGUACUUGGUUCUGUAACCCUUAACUUUUGACAUUCUGGUUUUUUUUACUGAAUAAACAUUUAUUUUGUCUCUUUGAUCUCUUUUGGCUAAAAAGGGGGAGAAGUAGCUAUAGCUAUAGAUGAUGCUAUAAAUGAUGUUAUUUAUAGAUGAUGUUAUAGAUCAUGUUGGAU
This 279-nucleotide long non-coding RNA is filed under the name Lathyrus oleraceus (garden pea). RNAcentral describes it as "Pisum sativum (pea) long non-coding RNA (PSAT_LNC017401)". The record is from RNAcentral. Lineage: Eukaryota; Viridiplantae; Streptophyta; Magnoliopsida; Fabales; Fabaceae.